UCUCUCUCGGUGUCGCACCUGGAGAGUUUCCAGUACUAUACCAGUCUCUACUUCGGGAGGGAGAGUCAAGCAGAGGCCUAUCCAUUCCAUUCCUAGCUUGAGCUGUGGCUAGUGAGUGGAAGGCCAUCUGUUACAAGU
Molecule: small nucleolar RNA, 138 nt
Filed under: Ornithorhynchus anatinus (platypus)
Lineage: Eukaryota; Metazoa; Chordata; Mammalia; Monotremata; Ornithorhynchidae
Source: RNAcentral